Macrobrachium nipponense is the source of this 241-nucleotide long non-coding RNA. RefSeq lists it as uncharacterized. The transcript has 2 exons. Lineage: Eukaryota; Metazoa; Arthropoda; Malacostraca; Decapoda; Palaemonidae. The record is from RefSeq and is a predicted model, not a curated record.
UCCAAGACCAUUUUUGAUUCCACAGGUGUCCGUGAGGGCUGGGAACAUUCCGUACCGCCAUAGUCAGGGCAGGAGACCGUAUGCCAGGUCCCGAUUUUCGUGAGAACCUUUUCGUACCCUAGGAUAAGGAACCCCCACAUUUACUUCCAACUACGCGAACAAACAAGGCACAAGGGAGGGUUAUCCAAGCAUUUACAGCUUCGACAAAGAACUCAAGUCUGACAUGACCACCAACACCACA